AACGAACGCUGGCGGCAGGCCUAACACAUGCAAGUCGAGCGAGGACUUCGGUUCUAGCGGCGGACGGGUGAGUAACGCGUGGGAAUGUGCCCUUCUCUACGGAAUAGCCCUGGGAAACUGGGAGUAAUACCGUAUACGCCCUAUUGGGGAAAGAUUUAUCGGAGAAGGAUCAGCCCGCGUUGGAUUAGGUAGUUGGUGGGGUAAUGGCCUACCAAGCCGACGAUCCAUAGCUGGUUUGAGAGGAUGAUCAGCCACACUGGGACUGAGACACGGCCCAGACUCCUACGGGAGGCAGCAGUGGGGAAUCUUAAACAAUGGGGGCAACCCUGAUCUAGCCAUGCCGCGUGAGUGAUGAAGGCCUUAGGGUUGUAAAGCUCUUUCAGCUGGGAAGAUAAUGACGGUACCAGCAGAAGAAGCCCCGGCUAACUCCGUG
This 433-nucleotide ribosomal RNA is filed under the name uncultured bacterium. RNAcentral's name for it is "partial 16S ribosomal RNA". It matches the Rfam family "Bacterial small subunit ribosomal RNA", at positions 29 to 507 of the family's 1533-position model. The record is from RNAcentral.